Molecule: microRNA, 21 nt
Filed under: Oryza sativa (Asian cultivated rice)
Lineage: Eukaryota; Viridiplantae; Streptophyta; Magnoliopsida; Poales; Poaceae
Description: osa-miR11339-3p
Source: miRBase by way of RNAcentral
UAUGAAUGUGGGCAAUGCUAG